RNAcentral lists this ribosomal RNA (360 nucleotides) under uncultured bacterium. RNAcentral's name for it is "bacterial SSU rRNA". It matches the Rfam family "Bacterial small subunit ribosomal RNA", at positions 166 to 528 of the family's 1533-position model. The record is from RNAcentral.
AUACCGCAUAGGCUUGGAAAGACGGGAGGAUUUCUAAGCAAAGUUCAGGCGUUUUGGGAGGGGCCUGCGGUCGAUUAGCUAGUUGGUAGGGUAACGGCCUACCAAGGCGAUGAUCGAUAGCUGUUCUGAGAGGAAGACCAGCCACACGGGAACUGAGAGACGGUCCCGACUCCUACGGGGGGCAGCAGUGAGGAAUAUUGCACAAUGGGGGCAACCCUGAUGCAGCAACGCCGCGUGAAGGAUGAAGGUCUUCGGAUUGUAAACUUCUUUUCUGUGGGAAGAAGGGUGUGGCGACACACCUUGACGGUACCAGAGGAAUAAGACACGGCUAACUACGUGCCAGCAGCCGCGGUAAUACGU